UUCCAGAUAUUCCUCUGUAAAAAAUAACAUACCCAGCCUGAGACUUGGUAUCUCAGGGAGGAGCAAAUUUUCAAGUAUUGGUUUGGUCUGAGCACAUUCAAACAUCAUCAUCAAUUUGUGAGUUCCUCGCUAGGAAGAAAUGCCAAAGGUUCAUCCUGUACUGUGACCUAAUCCUAGGUGCUAAAAUAUUGGGAUCUCAAGGAAAGUAGCUGUGAGACAAGACCGCAAUGGCUUGGACUGCAGCAUAGUGUAUGGCACAGUUGAUCUGAGGGGCUGUAAAGUUGUCUGGCGAGUGGAAAGAAAUCCUGGCCAAGCAGCACAGUGAGAAGCUCAAAGCAACACUUCCACUGUUGUCUUUCAUUUGCAGCUAAUCAUGCACACAAGGGCACCGCUCAGUGUUGCAAGCCAUUUAUAUACCUACCCUCCUGUUAAGCUUUAUGUGAAUUAAUUGCUGCUUUCCAUUCCUUCCUCCAUGUUUUGCUCUAACUCUCUAUUUGAACAAAACACUAAAAUUGCAAAAUCCAGCUGAAACUUAACGGAAAACACCAAGUUCCAUCUGGCCUCACAUAAAUUAUGGUCAGAGUUGCCAUUUUGAAGCACAGUUGUUGUUGUUGUUGUUGUUGUUUAAUUCCAAACUAUAAAUCAGCUCAAACUGAGUUCAAACCAGCUCCAAAUUGGGACCAGGUUUGCUCGGGGAGUUUGCAGACUCGAGCAAAAACUUUGGGUGAAGCCUGGCUAAAUGCUGAACUUGCAGCGAGCCAGGUGAGCGUGUGGCCAUGUACCAAAGGUUUCACAGGGCCGUAAGUUUAACAGAGAGAGGCCUGAGGCUGAUUUGUGCUAUGUGGGGAUGUCCUUGCCUUCAUAGAGGGGAGUUGGGAGGGGAGCACAGCUCAGGUGGCAGCACAGGCCACAGGUGCCCCUCGUUUGGCCUUGAUAGGCUGCCAGCCCUGCCCCGGCCCUCCUCAGGGAUAUCUGCACCCGAGGAGCACAGUUUGCUCCUUUUGGCUUUGUUGGGGGUGAUACUGGCAGCAAGUCCUGCUCGUGUUAGGGAUUCUGCUACAGCCCUGAAGGACAAUGGGACGGGGGAGCCUGGCGUGGAGGUGCUGGCAGGCCUGCGGCCCUGUGGGCCAGAUCUGCUUAAAGUUCCUGGAAAAAUGGCUGUUUGAUGCUUGCUGGAAGUGGAGUAAUCCUAACAGUCGAGAUUUGGAGAAGCCGCCACCUUCCAGCAAGGCCAGAGCACUUGUUUGGGAUGCCAGGACACUCCUCCAGCUCCCAGCGUGGCCAGGAAAACCUCAGGGCAGGUCAGGUCCAGCAACAUGAAAGCGUCCCCGGCUCUGCAGGGAUGUAAGCGGGGACAGCGAUGGGACAGAGGGAGCGAGGCUGAGCACGCUCCUCAGCAGUGACAGCAGCUUCUACAGCACUGAAUGCAAGUUAAAAAGAGCCAGAGACAAGAUUUGAAAAUGUUUUGUUCUUUCUUUAAGAAGAACGUUUGAAAGACUAAAACUUCAGAUAUAAAAAUUUCCUCUCUUUUCAAAGCACAAUCCAUUUAAUGAAAAUAAAAUUAUUAUAAUAUAUAUAUUUCCCAAUCCUUUUAUCCAUG
Long non-coding RNA from Cygnus olor (mute swan), 1600 nucleotides. RefSeq lists it as uncharacterized. NCBI's taxonomy places the organism in Eukaryota, Metazoa, Chordata, Aves, Anseriformes, Anatidae. The transcript is spliced from 4 exons. The record is from RefSeq and is a predicted model, not a curated record.